GAGGGUAUAGCUCAGUGGUAGAGUGUGUGCUUAGCACGCACGAGGUCCUGGGUUCAAUCCCCAGUCCCAUUU
RNAcentral lists this transfer RNA (72 nucleotides) under Camelus bactrianus (Bactrian camel). It matches the Rfam family "tRNA". Rfam says of the family: Transfer RNA (tRNA) molecules are approximately 80 nucleotides in length. Their secondary structure includes four short double-helical elements and three loops (D, anti-codon, and T loops). RNAcentral also lists the same sequence under 2 other names. Lineage: Eukaryota; Metazoa; Chordata; Mammalia; Artiodactyla; Camelidae. The record is from Rfam by way of RNAcentral.